RNAcentral lists this unclassified non-coding RNA (524 nucleotides) under plant metagenome. Its description in RNAcentral is "partial contains 5.8S ribosomal RNA, internal transcribed spacer 2, and large subunit ribosomal RNA". The stretch from base 1 to 104 matches the Rfam family "5.8S ribosomal RNA", at positions 50 to 154 of the family's 154-position model. The record is from RNAcentral.
GAAACGCGAUACGUGAUGCGAAUCGCGGGAACCAGCGAGCCAUCCAAUCUUCGAACGCACCUUGCGCUCCCGGUACCCCCGGGAGCACGCCUGUCCGAGUGUCGUCCCCAAGACCCGUCGCCUUUCUUUCUCUUCUCUCUCUUUUCAUUAAGAGAGGGUGUGAAAGGCUGCCCUGGGCUUGUCGCCGCCUGACUUCAUUGUUUGGGUGGCGUCGCCCUAAGAACAGACUCAAGGGGUUUUUCCUUCUUUGCAGGAUUUCUCCACUCAUGCCCUCUCUCUUUCCCUUCUCUUCUUCGCAAGAAGAGAGAAGAGAUAAGAGUGCCUGGCAGUUAGCGGGAUCUUUUACGAUUUCGCCACACCAAAGGGUCUCUUUUUCUUCUUCCUUGGGAAGAGAAAGAGAGGAGCAAAAAGAGAAAAGGAAACUUGCAAAAACAAAAAGGACAAAACCAUUUCCCUUUUGUUAAAACACUUUUUUCAAAAACGACCGACCUCGGAUCAGACGUCAUCACCCGCCGGACUUAAGC